RNAcentral lists this transfer RNA (93 nucleotides) under Pangasius djambal. RNAcentral describes it as "tRNA-Ile". It matches the Rfam family "tRNA". Rfam says of the family: Transfer RNA (tRNA) molecules are approximately 80 nucleotides in length. Their secondary structure includes four short double-helical elements and three loops (D, anti-codon, and T loops). The record is from RNAcentral. Lineage: Eukaryota; Metazoa; Chordata; Actinopteri; Siluriformes; Pangasiidae.
GCUCCAGUGGCGCAAUCGGUCAGCGCGCGGUACUUAUACAACAGUACGUGUGAAGCUAUGCCGAGGUUGUGAGUUCGAGCCUCACCUGGAGCA